This 196-nucleotide small RNA is filed under the name Arabidopsis thaliana (thale cress). RNAcentral's name for it is "ATSL138510". Lineage: Eukaryota; Viridiplantae; Streptophyta; Magnoliopsida; Brassicales; Brassicaceae. The record is from RNAcentral.
GCUUCACCCAUCCACAUGUACUCACAAAUCAACUAAAAACAUUCGAAAUGAAGGUAUGUGUAUCAGUACAUAUACGAUAAUGUAUAUUUAUAUAUACAUUUUUGCAGCCAUUUUAGCAAAUAAAUCGUAGAGUUGAACUUAUUUACAACUAAAUGCCAUUAGCAUUAAAAAAAAUUUCCAAAAUAAUUAAUUUUAC